CAGUGUGUUUCGACACACUAUCAUUAACUGAAUCCAUAGGUUAAUGAGGCGAACCGGGGGAACUGAAACAUCUAAGUACCCCGAGGAAAAGAAAUCAACCGAGAUUCCCCCAGUAGCGGCGAGCGAACGGGGAGGAGCCCAGAGCCUGAAUCAGUGUGUGUGUUAGUGGAAGCGUCUGGAAAGGCGUGCGAUACAGGGUGACAGCCUCGUACACAAAAAUGCACAUAUUGUGAGCUCGAUGAGUAGGGCGGGACACGUGGUAUCCUGUCUGAAUAUGGGGGGACCAUCCUCCAAGGCUAAAUACUCCUGACUGACCGAUAGUGAACCAGUACCGUGAGGGAAAGGCGAAAAGAACCCCGGCGAGGGGAGUGAAAAAGAACCUGAAACCGUGUACGUACAAGCAGUGGGAGCCUCUUAAUGGGGUGACUGCGUACCUUUUGUAUAAUGGGUCAGCGACUUAUAUUCUGUAGCAAGGUUAACCGAAUAGGGGAGCCGAAGGGAAACCGAGUCUUAACUGGGCGUUAAGUUGCAGGGUAUAGACCCGAAACCCGGUGAUCUAGCCAUGGGCAGGUUGAAGGUUGGGUAACACUAACUGGAGGACCGAACCGACUAAUGUUGAAAAAUUAGCGGAUGACUUGUGGCUGGGGGUGAAAGGCCAAUCAAACCGGGAGAUAGCUGGUUCUCCCCGAAAGCUAUUUAGGUAGCGCCUCGUGAAUUCAUCUCCGGGGGUAGAGCACUGUUUCGGCAAGGGGGUCAUCCCGACUUACCAACCCGAUGCAAACUGCGAAUACCGGAGAAUGUUAUCACGGGAGACACACGGCGGGUGCUAACGUCCGUCGUGAAGAGGGAAACAACCCAGACCGCCAGCUAAGGUCCCAAAGUCAUGGUUAAGUGGGAAACGAUGUGGGAAGGCCCAGACAGCCAGGAUGUUGGCUUAGAAGCAGCCAUCAUUUAAAGAAAGCGUAAUAGCUCACUGGUCGAGUCGGCCUGCGCGGAAGAUGUAACGGGGCUAAACCAUGCACCGAAGCUGCGGCAGCGACACUAUGUGUUGUUGGGUAGGGGAGCGUUCUGUAAGCCUGUGAAGGUGGCCUGUGAGGGUUGCUGGAGGUAUCAGAAGUGCGAAUGCUGACAUAAGUAACGAUAAAGCGGGUGAAAAGCCCGCUCGCCGGAAGACCAAGGGUUCCUGUCCAACGUUAAUCGGGGCAGGGUGAGUCGACCCCUAAGGCGAGGCCGAAAGGCGUAGUCGAUGGGAAACAGGUUAAUAUUCCUGUACUUGGUGUUACUGCGAAGGGGGGACGGAGAAGGCUAUGUUGGCCGGGCGACGGUUGUCCCGGUUUAAGCGUGUAGGCUGGUUUUCCAGGCAAAUCCGGAAAACCAAGGCUGAGGCGUGAUGA
This 1394-nucleotide ribosomal RNA is filed under the name Escherichia coli. RNAcentral's name for it is "partial 23S ribosomal RNA". It matches the Rfam family "Bacterial large subunit ribosomal RNA", at positions 129 to 1569 of the family's 2925-position model. Lineage: Bacteria; Pseudomonadati; Pseudomonadota; Gammaproteobacteria; Enterobacterales; Enterobacteriaceae. The record is from RNAcentral.